CGGGGACCCGCACAAGUAGCGGAGCAUGUGGUUUAAUUCGAAGCAACGCGAAGAACCUUACCUAAGCUUGACAUCCCAAUGACAUCUCCUUAAUCGGAGAGUUCCCUUCGGGGACAUUGGUGACAGGUGGUGCAUGGUUGUCGUCAGCUCGUGUCGUGAGAUGUUGGGUUAAGUCCCGCAACGAGCGCAACCCUUGUCUUUAGUUGCCAUCAUUAAGUUGGGCACUCUAGAGAGACUGCCAGGGAUAACCUGGAGGAAGGUGGGGAUGACGUCAAAUCAUCAUGCCCCUUAUGCUUAGGGCUACACACGUGCUACAAUGGGUAGUACAGAGGGUUGCCAAGCCGUAAGGUGGAGCUAAUCCCUUAAAGCUACUCUCAGUUCGGAUUGUAGGCUGAAACUCGCCUACAUGAAGCUGGAGUUACUAGUAAUCGCAGAUCAGAAUGCUGCGGUGAAUGCGUUCCCGGGUCUUGUACACACCGCCCGUCACACCACGGGAGUUGGAGACGCCCGAAGCCGAUUAUCUAACCUUUUGGAAGAAGUCGUCGAAGGUGGAAUCAAUAACUGGGGUGAAGUCGUAACAAGGUAGCCGUAUCGGAAGGUGCGGCUGGAUCACCUCCUUUCUAAGGA
This 627-nucleotide ribosomal RNA is filed under the name Clostridioides difficile. Its description in RNAcentral is "bacterial SSU rRNA". It matches the Rfam family "Bacterial small subunit ribosomal RNA", at positions 914 to 1533 of the family's 1533-position model. Lineage: Bacteria; Bacillati; Bacillota; Clostridia; Peptostreptococcales; Peptostreptococcaceae. The record is from RNAcentral.